CAGGAGCUUCAGUCAGAAUCCCAAAGCAGUCUGCAUCAGUAGAUACCACAUACAGUAAAUCUCGUCCGUCACUGGAUCCAAACACAAAGUUCAAUCAGUCUGUGGACCAAACAGAGGUCAACCCUGAUGUUCCAAAGAGAAUACAAAGCAAGAGGAUACCAUCAGCUGCAGGAGCUUCAGUCAGUUUUCCACUUCCUGGGCAGCACUCCAACAUACGAAAGCAAUCUGCAUCAGUAGAUACCACAUAUGGACCUAGUUGCAGCACAAACACACCACAGGU
Scomber japonicus (chub mackerel) is the source of this 280-nucleotide long non-coding RNA. RefSeq lists it as uncharacterized. The transcript is spliced from 6 exons. The record is from RefSeq and is a predicted model, not a curated record. NCBI's taxonomy places the organism in Eukaryota, Metazoa, Chordata, Actinopteri, Scombriformes, Scombridae.